UACGGAGGAGGCAAGCGUUAUCCGGAAUUAUUGGGCGUAAAGCGUCCGCAGGUGGCUAUUCAAGUCUGCGGUCAAAGACUGGGGCUUAACCCUGGAAAGGCCGUGGAAACUGAAGAGCUAGAGUGCAGUAGGGGUAGAGGGAAUUCCCGGUGUAGCGGUGAAAUGCGUAGAGCUCGGGAAGAACAUCGGUGGCGAAAGCGCUCUGCUGGACUGCAACUGACACUCAGGGACGAAAGCUAGGGGAGCGAGUGGG
RNAcentral lists this ribosomal RNA (253 nucleotides) under uncultured bacterium. Its description in RNAcentral is "partial 16S ribosomal RNA". It matches the Rfam family "Bacterial small subunit ribosomal RNA", at positions 524 to 776 of the family's 1533-position model. The record is from RNAcentral.